UACGUAGGGUGCAAGCGUUGUCCGGAAUCAUUGGGCGUAAAGCGCGCGUAGGUGGUCAUGUAAGUCCGCUGUGAAAGUCAAAGGCUCAACCUUUGAAAGCCGGUGGAUACUGCAUGACUAGAGUACGGAAGAGGCGAGCGGAAUUCCUGGUGUAGCGGUAGAAUGCGCAGAUAUCAGGAGGAACACCAAUAGCGAAGGCAGCUCGCUGGGACGUUACUGACACUGAGGCGCGAAAGCGUGGGGAGCGAACAGG
This 253-nucleotide ribosomal RNA is filed under the name uncultured bacterium. RNAcentral's name for it is "partial 16S ribosomal RNA". It matches the Rfam family "Bacterial small subunit ribosomal RNA", at positions 524 to 776 of the family's 1533-position model. The record is from RNAcentral.